Transfer RNA from Thecamonas trahens ATCC 50062, 80 nucleotides. It matches the Rfam family "tRNA". From Rfam's summary of the family: Transfer RNA (tRNA) molecules are approximately 80 nucleotides in length. Their secondary structure includes four short double-helical elements and three loops (D, anti-codon, and T loops). The record is from Rfam. Lineage: Eukaryota; Apusomonadida; Apusomonadidae.
UGGGGCAUGGCCGAGUGGUUAAGGCGGAUGUUUUAAGCUCAUCUGGGAAACCGUCGCGGGUUCGAACCCCGCUGUCCCAA